AGUACGAUCGCAAGAUUAAAACUCAAAGGAAUUGACGGGGCCCCGCACAAGCAGCGGAGCAUGCGGCUUAAUUCGACGCAACGCGAAGAACCUUACCAAGGCUUGACAUAUACAGGAAUAUGGCAGAGAUGUCAUAGCCGCAAGGUCUGUAUACAGGUGGUGCAUGGUUGUCGUCAGCUCGUGUCGUGAGAUGUUGGGUUAAGUCCCGCAACGAGCGCAACCCUCGUUCUGUGUUGCCAGCAUUUAGUUGGGGACUCACAGGAGACUGCCGGGGUUAACUCGGAGGAAGGUGGGGAUGACGUCAAAUCAUCAUGCCCCUUAUGUCUUGGGCUGCACGCAUGCUACAAUGGCUGGUACAAACGGCUGCAAUACCGCAAGGUGGAGCGAAUCCGAGAAAGCCAGUCUCAGUUCGGAUUGGGGUCUGCAACUCGACCCCAUGAAGUCGGAGUUGCUAGUAAUCGUAGAUCAGCAACGCUACGGUGAAUACGUUCCCGGGGCUUGUACACACCGCCCGUCACAUCACGAAAGUCGGUAACACCCAAAGUCAGUGGCCCAACCGCAAGGAGGGAGCUGCCAAAGGUGGGAUCGGUGAUUGGGGUG
This 600-nucleotide ribosomal RNA is filed under the name uncultured bacterium. Its description in RNAcentral is "bacterial SSU rRNA". It matches the Rfam family "Bacterial small subunit ribosomal RNA", at positions 879 to 1482 of the family's 1533-position model. The record is from RNAcentral.